RNAcentral lists this ribosomal RNA (381 nucleotides) under uncultured archaeon. Its description in RNAcentral is "bacterial SSU rRNA". It matches the Rfam family "Archaeal small subunit ribosomal RNA", at positions 471 to 851 of the family's 1478-position model. The record is from RNAcentral.
UAACACGUACUCCGCAAGUGGUGUUCACUUAUACUGGGCCUAAAGCGUUCGUAGCCGGUCCAGUAAGUCUCUGGUGAAAUCGGCCAGCCUAACUGGUCGAAGUGCUAGAGAUACUGCUGGACUCGAGACCGGAAGACGUCAAGGGAAUUUCCGGGGUAGCGGUGAAAUGUUGUGAUCCUGGAAAGACCCCCAGUAGCGAAGGCGCUUGACGAGGACGGGUCUGACGGUGAGGGACGAAAGCUAGGGGAGCGACCUGGAUUAGAUACCCAGUUAGUCCUAGCCGUAAACGAUGUGGACUAGGUGUCCUAGCACCUACAUGGUGCAGGGGUGCCACAGCGAAGGCGUUAAGUCUACCGCCUGGGAAGUACGCUCGCAAGGGUG